RNAcentral lists this ribosomal RNA (324 nucleotides) under uncultured eukaryote. Its description in RNAcentral is "partial 18S ribosomal RNA". It matches the Rfam family "Eukaryotic small subunit ribosomal RNA", at positions 1470 to 1796 of the family's 1831-position model. The record is from RNAcentral.
CCCUUAGAUGUUCUGGGCCGCACGCGCGCUACACUGAUGCAUUCAACGAGUUUCUUCCUGGUCCGAGAGGAAUGGGUAACCUUUUGAAAGCGCAUCGUGAUAGGGAUAGACUAUUGCAAUUAUUGGUCUUCAACGAGGAAUUCCUAGUAGACGUAGUUCAUCAGACUGCAUCGAUUACGUCCCUGCCCUUUGUACACACCGCCCGUCGCUCCUACCGAUUGAAUGCUCAGGUGAGCCAUUCGGACUUUCAUCAUGCUGGUUUCCAGUUUUGAUGAAGGAAAGUCUUGCGAACCUUAUCAUUUAGAGGAAGGAGAAGUCAUAACA